RNAcentral lists this long non-coding RNA (262 nucleotides) under Zostera marina. RNAcentral describes it as "long non-coding RNA (ZMAR_LNC004258)". Lineage: Eukaryota; Viridiplantae; Streptophyta; Magnoliopsida; Alismatales; Zosteraceae. The record is from RNAcentral.
ACUUGCCUUUUGCUCUUUAAGUUUACUACAGUAUAUGAAUACGUAGUCAACUUUUCAGAUGGUGUUUUAUAAACAACUAUAGUAUAUGAAUACUAAGUUAUAUUAUAAACACAAGUUAUAUUAUAGAGUAAAUGACCAGAUAACUGGAUAUAUGAUAAGCAAGUAAAUGACCAGAUAACUGGAUAUAUUGAUAAACAAGUAGAUGACCAGAUAACUAGAUAUAUAUAUGAUAAGUAAAUGCUUGAACAAAUAUGAAUAAAGC